GGGGACGCUGGGCUUCGACGAACAUUGAAAAAUUAGAAUCGAACCGAAGCGUACAACUUCGUUAAAAUGUGCAAACAGAAAAGUGCAAACUUUUCCUCAAAGUUACGAAUGCCAGUAAUGGCGUUUGCCUAACUUCUUCGCCCCUUUGAGGGCGAAGCAUCCAAGCGCUUGAUGCUCGCUAGGGCUGUCUUGGGUGUUAUAUUAGCGAGAUGCUUUCUUAUUGCUCCUGCCAAUAAGAACUAAGACUUGUCAGGAUAGGUUAAAAAGUUUUCGCCAAACUUCUUACUUUUCAACCGAGGGGCUUGUCAUGAAAUAAGUGAACGAUUUGGAGAACCGAAUUUGAGCCGAGUUCAAGGCGCGAGAAGGAAAUCGCAGAAAGUUCUGCCUUUCCGACGAGCAACACAGAAAUCGGCCAAAGACGGAAUCUCCCCGAAGGGCCAGGAUUAUUUUGAGCUGCGGCUUUGCAAAAAUUUUUCUGCAGAUACUUAAUCGUAUAUGCUUCAAAAUUUUUACUUUGCCUCGCUUCAAAAUCAUCACUGGCAAAUCUGUCCAAUUAUUUCACGACAAGCCCCCAUCAAGUUUGGCUACGUUCGUACCAGUUCUAAUUCGUAAAUGAUUCGGAUGCGGGUUCAACUCCCGCCGUCUCCACUA
RNAcentral lists this transfer-messenger RNA (651 nucleotides) under bacterium. It matches the Rfam family "transfer-messenger RNA". Rfam says of the family: Bacterial tmRNA, also known as 10Sa RNA or SsrA, is named for its dual tRNA and mRNA-like properties. The record is from RNAcentral.